Molecule: transfer RNA, 66 nt
Filed under: Marmota monax (woodchuck)
Lineage: Eukaryota; Metazoa; Chordata; Mammalia; Rodentia; Sciuridae
Description: tRNA.Undet
Source: RNAcentral
GGCUGUCGCACAGUGGUAGAGCGCUCGCCUACACACGUGAGGCCCUGGGUUCAAUCCUCAGCACCA